GUCUAGGUAGUAUAGUGGUUAGUAUGCUCGCUUGUGGACUUGAGUUCUCUUGGGAGCGCAACCAAUUCGCGAUCGACACCGGUUCGAUUCCGGUCCUGGACA
Molecule: non-coding RNA, 102 nt
Organism: Mycena vitilis
Lineage: Eukaryota; Fungi; Basidiomycota; Agaricomycetes; Agaricales; Mycenaceae
Source: the annotation of a GenBank genome assembly